AAUUGUUCGCAAUGGGCGCAAGCCUGACGACGCAACGCCGCGUGGAGGACGAAGACCUUCGGGUCGUAAACUCCUUUCGAUCGGGAAGAACGGCUGCCGGGUGAACAAUCCGGCAGAGUGACGGUACCGAGAGAAGAAGCCCCGGCUAACUCCGUGCCAGCAGCCGCGGUAAUACGGGGGGGGCAAGCGUUGUUCGGAAUUACUGGGCGUAAAGGGCUUGUAGGCGGCCAACUAAGUCCGACGUGAAAUCCCCAGGCUUAACCUGGGAACUGCGUCGGAUACUGGAUGGCUUGAAUCCGGGAGAGGGAUGCGGAAUUCCAGGUGUAGCGGUGAAAUGCGUAGAUAUCUGGAGGAACACCGGUGGCGAAGGCGGCAUCCUGGACCGGCAUUGACGCUGAAAAGCGAAAGCCAGGGGAGCAAAC
This 422-nucleotide ribosomal RNA is filed under the name uncultured bacterium. RNAcentral's name for it is "bacterial SSU rRNA". It matches the Rfam family "Bacterial small subunit ribosomal RNA", at positions 360 to 773 of the family's 1533-position model. The record is from RNAcentral.